AUACGGAGGGGGCUAGCGUUGUUCGGAAUUACUGGGCGUAAAGCGCACGUAGGCGGCGAUUUAAGUCAGAGGUGAAAGCCCGGGGCUCAACCCCGGAACUGCCUUUGAGACUGGAUUGCUUGAACAUCGGAGAGGUGAGUGGAAUUCCGAGUGUAGAGGUGAAAUUCGUAGAUAUUCGGAAGAACACCAGUGGCGAAGGCGGCUCACUGGACGAUUGUUGACGCUGAGGUGCGAAAGCGUGGGGAGC
Molecule: ribosomal RNA, 247 nt
Filed under: uncultured bacterium
Lineage: Bacteria
Description: partial 16S ribosomal RNA
Rfam family: Bacterial small subunit ribosomal RNA
Source: RNAcentral